Molecule: unclassified non-coding RNA, 284 nt
Filed under: uncultured fungus
Lineage: Eukaryota; Fungi
Description: sequence contains ITS1
Rfam family: 5.8S ribosomal RNA (bases 1-105)
Source: RNAcentral
GAAAUGCGAUACGUAAUGCGAAUUGCAGAAUUCAGUGAAUCAUCGAAUCUUUGAACGCAAGUUGCGCUUCUGAGAGCCCUCGGAAGCAUGCCUCUCUGAGUAUCGGUUUCCAUCUCACACCCGGUGUGGAGAAUGAGAGUCGGCCAUUCAUCUGGCUCCGUCUCUUCAAGUCAGUUGUCGGCACACGCAAGUCCAUCGGAUUCUUGGAACGAUAAUCCGUCAUGGCACUCGUAAACCAUACGCAACAAGAUCUCAGAUGAGGUAAGACUACCCGCCGAAUUUAA